AUUCCACAUGAGACCUAUUAUUAGCUAACAGAUGGAAUUUCAGGCACUGAAGAUGAUGUUUUAGGUAGACAAAAGUUAAUGCUCUAAAUCCUCAUGUAGGAUGCCCAACAUCUGGAUGCACCCAGCAUGACUACUGGUGCUGAGCAGCCACCCACGGAGGGCAUAUGCACGAAGACAUUAAAGGUAAAAGAAAUGGCCUGUGCUGAGCAACAGAGAAAGCUGUAUCAGAGAUAAAACCAAACAGUAAGCUUCCUAUGACACUGCUCCAGUGGAAGAAGAGAAAGCACCACCUCAUUACUGCAAGGUGGAAACAGAAGUCCAAGAGAGAUUCUUUGUUACCACUUGACAUGGAUGGGAAUCUAGGCACUCCCUGAUGGAGAGAAGGAGGACUGUCUCAUUAUGCUCACCAUGUAACCUACAAUAGCACCAUGGAAGGGGGAUGUGGACGUCUGUUAUCACUGGGUGGUGGUGAAAGCCCUGACUAUUGGCCUCUUUGGACAUAAUGCCAGUGGGGAGGGGGGAGAAUGCUUCAUUACUGCCAUCUGUGGGUAGAAAUCCAGGCUACGCACUUUGCUUUUUGAUGGUGUGGUGGGGGACGGGGCCACAGAUUUUUUUCUGCGGUAUUUAGCAGAAAUACAGAGUAGUUAUUGCCAA
Molecule: long non-coding RNA, 654 nt
Organism: Pongo pygmaeus (Bornean orangutan)
Lineage: Eukaryota; Metazoa; Chordata; Mammalia; Primates; Hominidae
Exons: 3
Source: RefSeq, a predicted model, not a curated record